RNAcentral lists this Y RNA (102 nucleotides) under Aotus nancymaae (Ma's night monkey). RNAcentral describes it as "Y RNA (ENSANAG00000014255.1)". It matches the Rfam family "Y RNA". Rfam says of the family: Y RNAs are components of the Ro ribonucleoprotein particle (Ro RNP), in association with Ro60 and La proteins. The Y RNAs and Ro60 and La proteins are well conserved, but the function of the Ro RNP is not known. The record is from Rfam by way of RNAcentral. Lineage: Eukaryota; Metazoa; Chordata; Mammalia; Primates; Aotidae.
GGCUUGUCCGGGUGCAGUGGUAUUUACAACUAAUUGAUCACAAGCAGUUACAGAUUUCUUUGUUCCUUCUCCACUCCCACUGCUUCACUUGACUAGCCUUAA